GUAAAAGAACAAGCAGUCAAGAAAUACAUCAUGGAUUGGCACUUGGUACAGGAGUCAUAACUGCAUUGUUUUCAUUUUGAAGCAAUAACAAAAGCACAGCAAUAAUAGCAGAAAAGAAGGCAGUAACAAUAGUUAUUCCAGAGUUCCUGAUAAUCUUGUCAUCUGAUGCCAAUGUUGACAUUAUUAUUGACAGUAUCGCAUUUCAGCCAGUCAGAAGCAUCAAUCAACCCAUGGUGAUAACAUAAAACCGAGAAAAGCUUCUCCUAAUCCAAUUUAUAUUCUGUCCCAUAUACCAGGCCCAACCAUGCUGAGGAAACAAAAUGAGAAGAGCACAGAAUAAUAUACUUUUAAACUUAGACAUACAUAUUCUGAUACACACAGAAUAUUUUGGAACAUGGCAAAGAAAGGACUUCACAUAUUUUAUGUAAUUUCUAUAGACAUAGAUUAAAAAAAAAAACCUUGAAUGUGGAAAACAAAGUU
Molecule: long non-coding RNA, 480 nt
Organism: Crotalus tigris (Tiger rattlesnake)
Lineage: Eukaryota; Metazoa; Chordata; Lepidosauria; Squamata; Viperidae
Exons: 2
Source: RefSeq, a predicted model, not a curated record